Long non-coding RNA from Perognathus longimembris pacificus (Pacific pocket mouse), 535 nucleotides. RefSeq lists it as uncharacterized. The transcript has 3 exons. The record is from RefSeq and is a predicted model, not a curated record. NCBI's taxonomy places the organism in Eukaryota, Metazoa, Chordata, Mammalia, Rodentia, Heteromyidae.
GGCUCGGCUGCAGAACUGGAAUUUGAGCACCAGGGGGCAGUAGGCCACUUUGUUCACAUCCUUGCACUCUGCCAGACAGGAGAGGAGCUAUCAGUUUUCAGAGCCCCACCCAGGCAGAUUCUACCUAACCAAUGACUUGACUUUUUUGUGCUCGGUUUCCUCAACUGUCAAGGGAGGCUUAUGAAUCCCGUCAUUAGGCUGUUUUCAGGAUGGAGAGAGCUCAGCAUUAUCCAUGAAAAAAAAACCACACCAAAACCUUUCCUAUUCAACCAGUUGAAAUGGGGCUGGCGUCUAAUCACCAUUGCUGGGUUUCUUGAGUAGCUAGAAUGACAGGUGAAUCACAGCUUCUAGCCUUGUCCUUUUUUUUUUUUUUUAAACUGAUGUUUGAACUCAGGGCUUCACAAAUUUGCUGAGCUUGCUUGCUUCACUGAUUUUCUACUACUUGAACCACAUCUGCAGCACAGCUUUUUGCUAGUUAUUUUGGAGAUGGAAUCCCGAAGACUUUUCUGCCUGGGCUGGCUUUGAACCUCAGAUC